GGGUAGUCCAGGGUGUAAACGCUGCAGACUUGGUGUUGGGGAUCCUACGAGGAUGCCCAGUGCCGGAGAGAAGUUGUUAAGUCUGCCGCUUGGGGAGUACGGCCGCAAGGCUGAAACUUAAAGGAAUUGGCGGGGGAGCACAGCAACGGGAGGAGCGUGCGGUUCAAUUGGAUCCAACGCCGGACAACUCACCGGGGGCGACGGUCACAUGAAGGCCAGGCUGAUGACCUUGCCUGAUUGACCGAGAGGUGGUGCAUGGCCGCCGUCAGUUCGUACCGUAGGGCGUUCUGUUAAGUCAGAUAACGAACGAGACCCUCGCCCCUAUUUGCCACCCUUCCUCCGGGAAGGGAGCACAAUAGGGGGACCCUGGCGCGAAGCCAGAGGAAGGAGAGGUCAACGGUAGGUCCGUAUGCCCCGAAUCCCCCGGGCUACACGCGCGCUACAAAGGGCAGGACAAAGGGGUUCCGACACCGAAAGGUGAAGGGUAAU
Molecule: ribosomal RNA, 489 nt
Filed under: uncultured prokaryote
Description: bacterial SSU rRNA
Rfam family: Archaeal small subunit ribosomal RNA
Source: RNAcentral